RNAcentral lists this ribosomal RNA (780 nucleotides) under uncultured Alcanivorax sp. RNAcentral describes it as "bacterial SSU rRNA". It matches the Rfam family "Bacterial small subunit ribosomal RNA", at positions 97 to 872 of the family's 1533-position model. Lineage: Bacteria; Pseudomonadati; Pseudomonadota; Gammaproteobacteria; Oceanospirillales; Alcanivoracaceae. The record is from RNAcentral.
GGCGGACGAGUGAGUAAUGCGUGAGAAUCUACCCAUGAGUGGGGGACAACCCGGGGAAACUCGGGCUAAUACCGCAUACGCCCUACGGGGUAAAGCAGGGGACCUUCGGGCCUUGCGCUGAUGGAUGAGCUCGCGUCGGAUUAGCUUGUUGGUGAGGUAAAGGCUCACCAAGGCGACGAUCCGUAGCUGGUCUGAGAGGAUGAUCAGCCACACCGGGACUGAGACACGGCCCGGACUCCUACGGGAGGCAGCAGUGGGGAAUCUUGGACAAUGGGGGCAACCCUGAUCCAGCCAUGCCGCGUGUGUGAAGAAGGCCUUCGGGUUGUAAAGCACUUUCAGCAGGGAGGAAGGCUUACCCCUAAUACGGGUGAGUACUUGACGUUACCUGCAGAAGAAGCACCGGCUAAUUUCGUGCCAGCAGCCGCGGUAAUACGAAAGGUGCAAGCGUUAAUCGGAAUUACUGGGCGUAAAGCGCGCGUAGGCGGUGUGUUAAGUCGGAUGUGAAAGCCCAGGGCUCAACCUUGGAAUUGCAUCCGAUACUGGCACGCUGGAGUGCAGUAGAGGGAGGUGGAAUUUCCGGUGUAGCGGUGAAAUGCGUAGAGAUCGGAAGGAACACCAGUGGCGAAGGCGGCCUCCUGGACUGACACUGACGCUGAGGUGCGAAAGCGUGGGGAGCAAACAGGAUUAGAUACCCUAGUAGUCCACGCUGUAAACGAUGUCUACUAGCCGUCGGGGUCCUUAGUGACUUUGGUGGCGCAGCUAACGCGAUAAGUAGACCGC